Parasteatoda tepidariorum (common house spider) is the source of this 521-nucleotide non-coding RNA. Lineage: Eukaryota; Metazoa; Arthropoda; Arachnida; Araneae; Theridiidae. The record is from RefSeq and is a predicted model, not a curated record.
UAUUGAUAUUGUAAUUAAAAAACUGUUUUAUUUUUAGUUUAAAUUUUAUGUUUUUGUAUUCUAGAGAUAAUACCGUAUUUCCAAUGCAUUCUAACUUGCAAGCUAGGUUUUUCUAAAUUUCUUCUUUUAUCUUUUUGCAAAGAUAAAUAACGAAGAAUAUGGAGAAGCAUUGGCUCUUGUUCAGACCUAUAAUUUAGAUACUAAUCUUGUGUACCAGCGUCAGUGGAGAAAAAUGCCCGCUACUGUUGAGACUAUUCAUAAUUAUUUAAAAACUUGAUCUGUUAAAAAGUUUUGAAGAGUGCAGAAGAAAGUUUUUCAUUGGAUCAUAACAGCUUGGGGUUAUGCUAGAAAAUAGAAUUAGAGAUGACAUUAAUGUUAUAUGCUAAAAUUGCAAAUUUUGACUGACUGUAGAUGAGUCGAACAGUUGCAGCACAAAAUCUAUGGAACUUUUAUACUGUUUCCCCUUCUCAGUAACUCUUUCCAGGGUUAGCUGUUUUUAAACCACAGUUUAAAAUCAACUC